RNAcentral lists this ribosomal RNA (454 nucleotides) under Microphallus sp. HAP4. RNAcentral describes it as "SSU rRNA". It matches the Rfam family "Eukaryotic small subunit ribosomal RNA", at positions 530 to 915 of the family's 1831-position model. Lineage: Eukaryota; Metazoa; Platyhelminthes; Trematoda; Plagiorchiida; Microphallidae. RNAcentral also lists the same sequence under 2 other names. The record is from RNAcentral.
UCCUUUAACGAGGAACAACUGGAGGGCAAGUCUGGUGCCAGCAGCCGCGGUAACUCCAGCUCCAGAAGCGUAUAUUAAAGUUGUUGCAGUUAAAAAGCUCGUAGUUGGAUCUGGGUCGCAUGGCUACGUGCCGUAGCUUGUAUUCUCGGCUUGGCUACGGUUGGGUCGGGUUUGUGAGUCGGUUUCGUGGCUGUGUAGCCUUUCUGCCGUGUCUGUUUCGACAGGUGCUGAUGGUUAUUCCGUUGGCAUGCUUCCGGAUGCCUUUAACCGGGUGUCGGGGGCGGACGGCACGUUUACUUUGAACAAAUUUGAGUGCUCAAAGCAGGCCUAUGCCUGAAAAUUCUUGCAUGGAAUAAUGGAAUAGGACUUCGGUUCUAUUUUGUUGGUUUUCGGAUCCGAAGUAAUGGUUAAGAGGGACAGACGGGGGCAUUUGUAUGGCGGUGUUAGAGGUGAA